This 1471-nucleotide long non-coding RNA is filed under the name Phascolarctos cinereus (koala). Its description in RNAcentral is "lncRNA (ENSPCIG00000013244.2)". The record is from RNAcentral. Lineage: Eukaryota; Metazoa; Chordata; Mammalia; Diprotodontia; Phascolarctidae.
GGAUCCAGGUGAAGCAGUUUGUAGAAGAAUUAUGGAGUCUCAGAGGGUGGGAAGACAGAGUAAGUCAGCAGUGUCCUAUGACAGGCAGAGGACAGAUUGCAGCUACCGUGCCUGGAGCAGCAGGUACAGGCAGGCUGGGCCCCAGUGAAGAGAUGGACAAAAGAGAAACUGAGGUCUUCUGCAAGCAAAGAACCGUUAACAAAGCUGGUCAGAGACCCCAGAGAAAGGGGGGCCCUCUCUUGUCACACAGGGAGGGAGGGGGAUGUUACAAUUGGCUAUACUGAGAAAAGCGGGUUGGCAUGCAGCUGUGGCCCAUCACAGCGCUCUCUGACAACAGAAACGUUCAUCUUGUCCCCUCGGAGGAAAUCAAACCUCCCCAACUGCACAAGGACAGACAAGAACAGAAGGCUUGCCAGGGCAGGGGAGGGAGGGGGGCACCAGCUUCAGCCGCUUGGGGCUUAUGGACGUUCCUAGGGCUCAGGUGCAGAGAUCACAGCAGAGGAGAGGGCAGUGUCCUUGGAAUCAGCAGGACCUGACUUCAAAACUCUCACUCCUGGCGUGACCCGAGAAGAUGAGUGGGGUAGACUUGAAUGUGCCUGCUGGCCCUCCACCUCUGAUUAACUGAAGGGAUGGAGAUGUGGAGCUCGAAGAAGAGAAGGCUCGUGGAAAAGGAAGGCAGGAAGGGGUCCUAUCAGAUCCUCACAACGACCCUGUGAGAACUUGGGCCCUUUUGGGAGCCAGACACAGAGCCCAGCUGGAACCAUCUGGUCACGUGGGGAAGGAUGGGCCAAUAGGCGAGCGACUUCGGCCCCGCCUCGCGGGAUCUUCCUGGGCGUCAACACUUUCCCGCCUACCCUGGGACCCAGCUCAGGACCAUGGGCAUCAGCCUGUUCUUCCUGCUCUGCCAUGGGUUCUCUCUCACAGAGCUGUGCCAGGUCUGGGAGGGCAUCCUAGGUCUACAGGCGCUCCCACCCCCCAGGAUUUUCUUGGAGCCCACGUUUCCGGUAAAGCUCGGGGACUUGGUGAAGUACGAGUGUGUGGGGGCCUACGGCUCAUUGCAGUGCCUCCUACUCCGAGUGGAUCGUCCAGGAAUGAGUCCUAGGGUGGUGUUCCGAGAGGAUGCCAUUUGGGAAGGAAGGGUAGGCUGGUUCUUCAUGGACAACGUCGCCGCCCAGCACACGGGGAUCUACACCUGUGUCUAUUACUUCAACGGGUUCUAUUCCAAGAACAGUAAUGAGCUGCCACUGAUCAUAAGAGGGCCCAUCCAGGUCUGCAGAGAGGCCAGAGGACAGCGGAGUGCUUGAGGCUGGGUGGAAGGACCCACAGGUGCCGAGCCUGCAUUGGAAAAGAAGACGCUGGGGAGAUGGGAGCUGUCUGCCUCCAAGGGGAUGGCUUCCCCUUCCUGGAAGGUCCUCGGGCAGAAACGGGGCUCUCCCAUCUGCUGCCACCCCCCAUCAGCCCAGGAAGGGAC